Molecule: ribosomal RNA, 253 nt
Filed under: uncultured bacterium
Lineage: Bacteria
Description: partial 16S ribosomal RNA
Rfam family: Bacterial small subunit ribosomal RNA
Source: RNAcentral
UACGGAGGGUGCAAGCGUUGUCCGGAAUUACUGGGUGUAAAGGGUGCGCAGGCGGACUUGUGCGUCAGAGGUUAAAUACCCCGGCUCAACCGGGGAAAUGCCUUUGAAACGGCAGGUCUUGAGUGCGAGAGAGGAUGGUAGAAUUCCUGGUGUAGCGGUGAAAUGCGUAGAUAUCAGGAGGAAUACCAGUGGCGAAGGCGGCCAUCUGGCUCGCAACUGACGCUCAGGCACGAAAGCGUGGGGAGCAAACAGG